UGUCUCAGAUGGUAAAGAAUCUGCCUGUAAGGCAGGAGACCCAGGUUCAAUCCCUGG
This 57-nucleotide transfer RNA is filed under the name Bos taurus (domestic cattle). It matches the Rfam family "tRNA", at positions 8 to 63 of the family's 71-position model. Rfam says of the family: Transfer RNA (tRNA) molecules are approximately 80 nucleotides in length. Their secondary structure includes four short double-helical elements and three loops (D, anti-codon, and T loops). The record is from Rfam by way of RNAcentral. Lineage: Eukaryota; Metazoa; Chordata; Mammalia; Artiodactyla; Bovidae. RNAcentral also lists the same sequence under 3 other names.